This 496-nucleotide ribosomal RNA is filed under the name uncultured bacterium. RNAcentral describes it as "partial 16S ribosomal RNA". It matches the Rfam family "Bacterial small subunit ribosomal RNA", at positions 30 to 523 of the family's 1533-position model. The record is from RNAcentral.
AUUGAACGCUGGCGGAAUGCUUUACACAUGCAAGUCGAACGGUAGAGGGGGCAACCCCUCGAGAGUGGCGAACGGGUGAGUAAUAUAUCGGAACGUGCCCAGUCGUGGGGGAUAACGUAGCGAAAGUUACGCUAAUACCGCAUACGAUCUAAGGAUGAAAGCGGGGGAUCGCAAGACCUCGCGCGAUUGGAGCGGCCGAUAUCAGAUUAGGUAGUUGGUGGGGUAAAGGCUCACCAAGCCAACGAUCUGUAGCUGGUCUGAGAGGACGACCAACCACAACGGAACGGAGACGCGGUCCAGACUCCUACGGGAGGCAGCAGUGGGGAAUUUUGGACAAUGGACGCAAGUCGGAUCCAGCCAUUCCGCGUGCAGGAUGAAGGCCCUCGGGUUGUAAACUGCUUUUGUGCGGAACGAAAAGGUCUCUCUUAAUACGGGGGGCUCAUGACGGUACCGUAAGAAUAAGCACCGGCUAACUACGUGCCAGCAGCCGCAGUAA